This 438-nucleotide long non-coding RNA is filed under the name Mytilus galloprovincialis (Mediterranean mussel). Lineage: Eukaryota; Metazoa; Mollusca; Bivalvia; Mytilida; Mytilidae. The record is from RNAcentral.
GUUGGUUGGUUCUAUGAUAGAAUUUGCAAAAAGACCUCAAAAUAUGAUGGUCAUAUAAACACUACAAAUUUGGUUAUUUCAAUUCUAUUUAUUUAACAACUGCAUUUAUUUUCGGACCCGAUAUUCACAAUCAUACAAAAUGUGUGUACCAUAGUUCUUAUUUCAUUAGCAUUAUGUGGUAUUUAAAUGUACUUGUGGUUGACAUAUAUACACUCCAAGUUUACUCUGCCUUGCUCUUGGUCUCACAAAACUGUUUAACUAGUACUGUUAGUAUUAUUUAAACUGUUCUCCUGUUUACAAUAUUAUAAUUUUUGCACAUGAAUUCCUUCAUUUACUUGAACUUCUCCUUGUAAGAUUCAAAGGUCAUGAUGAUAUAAUCCUGUUGUUCAUAAUCAACAAUCCAUCCUUCGAAAGAUUUCUUCAGCAGCUGUAAUGUAA